CUUCAUUAUGGGGGUGUCUCCGACUGCCUUCAAGAGCACGUCAACUAAAAGAGAUGGGGGAAGGUUACAAAAAUAGCGGAACAAAAUAAAGCAGACUAAAAUGGGCGAGAAAACAAACCAAACACACAGGCCUUUAAUCACAGGGGUCUUUCUAAACUACACCAUCAUGACGACGAAAGGGUCGUCUUAAAAACAACAUUUCCCCUAUGAUGGCAUUAGAUGGCAUAUUGUAUCUCCUGUAUCAGUAACGCUCUGUUGUGCCGAGGACUCAUAUUUGUGUAUUUCUGUGGGAGCUUCUGCGUUGUCAGACAUCCUCUGG
Electrophorus electricus (electric eel) is the source of this 319-nucleotide long non-coding RNA. RefSeq lists it as uncharacterized. The record is from RefSeq and is a predicted model, not a curated record. Lineage: Eukaryota; Metazoa; Chordata; Actinopteri; Gymnotiformes; Gymnotidae.